RNAcentral lists this ribosomal RNA (610 nucleotides) under Sphingobium yanoikuyae. Its description in RNAcentral is "bacterial SSU rRNA". It matches the Rfam family "Bacterial small subunit ribosomal RNA", at positions 121 to 765 of the family's 1533-position model. The record is from RNAcentral. Lineage: Bacteria; Pseudomonadati; Pseudomonadota; Alphaproteobacteria; Sphingomonadales; Sphingobiaceae.
GGAAUCUGCCCUUGGGUUCGGAAUAACUUCUGGAAACGGAAGCUAAUACCGGAUGAUGACGUAAGUCCAAAGAUUUAUCGCCCAAGGAUGAGCCCGCGUAGGAUUAGCUAGUUGGUGGGGUAAAGGCUCACCAAGGCGACGAUCCUUAGCUGGUCUGAGAGGAUGAUCAGCCACACUGGGACUGAGACACGGCCCAGACUCCUACGGGAGGCAGCAGUAGGGAAUAUUGGACAAUGGGCGAAAGCCUGAUCCAGCAAUGCCGCGUGAGUGAUGAAGGCCUUAGGGUUGUAAAGCUCUUUUACCCGGGAUGAUAAUGACAGUACCGGGAGAAUAAGCUCCGGCUAACUCCGUGCCAGCAGCCGCGGUAAUACGGAGGGAGCUAGCGUUGUUCGGAAUUACUGGGCGUAAAGCGCACGUAGGCGGCUAUUCAAGUCAGAGGUGAAAGCCCGGGGCUCAACCCCGGAACUGCCUUUGAAACUAGAUAGCUUGAAUCCAGGAGAGGUGAGUGGAAUUCCGAGUGUAGAGGUGAAAUUCGUAGAUAUUCGGAAGAACACCAGUGGCGAAGGCGGCUCACUGGACUGGUAUUGACGCUGAGGUGCGAAAGCGUGGG